RNAcentral lists this ribosomal RNA (439 nucleotides) under uncultured bacterium. Its description in RNAcentral is "partial 16S ribosomal RNA". It matches the Rfam family "Bacterial small subunit ribosomal RNA", at positions 339 to 795 of the family's 1533-position model. The record is from RNAcentral.
CUACGGGUUGCAGCAGUGGGGAAUAUUGCACAAUGGGGGAAACCCUGAUGCAGCAACGCCGCGUGAGCGAUGAAGGUCUUCGGAUUGUAAAGCUCUGUCUUUAGGGACGAUAAUGACGGUACCUAAGGAGGAAGCCACGGCUAACUACGUGCCAGCAGCCGCGGUAAUACGUAGGUGGCAAGCGUUGUCCGGAUUUACUGGGCGUAAAGGGAGCGUAGGCGGAUUUUUAAGUGGGAUGUGAAAUACCCGGGCUUAACCUGGGUGCUGCAUUCCAAACUGGAAGUCUAGAGUACAGGAGGGGAAAGCGGAAUUCCUAGUGUAGCGGUGAAAUGCGUAGAGAUUAGGAAGAACACCAGUGGCGAAGGCGGCUUUCUGGACUGUAACUGACGCUGAGGCUCGAAAGCGUGGGGAGCAAACAGGAUUAGAUACCCCGGUAGUC